CAUGAUCCAUCACCAAAAAGCAACAUUACUGUUCUUUGUUGAAUAACAACAAAUCCAGACUUAGUAAGGAGAGACUUAUUCAAAAAGGAUUAUUGCCAAGGGGAGGGGGAAGGGACUAUUGCAGUAAGGAGAGCACUGUGACAGGAGGACUUGCAAGUCUCCGGAGUUAAGCAAAAGGGGAUUUUCUUCUACAGAGAGUCAUAAACGGGGCUGGGAAGAACUGAGUACAGGGAAGUGGGAUAAAAGUUUGACGUGAUCAGACAGUAGAUCAGAGACUGUUUCACCCGGAGCCGGCUUAUUCUCAGGAGGGCUGUGUGCUGGCCUGAGUGAGGGGCAAAGUUCAGGCACUUGGCGGAAGGAGAGAAGCACAAAAUCAAGGUUCUCUCCUACACUACCUACACCACAGGGAUUCAGCCAUGAAAAACAACAACUAACACCCUACGCCCGUGGAGCUUUCAGCUAGUGGGAGAGCUAGUCAAGUUUAUGUCUUACAUCUGCUAUUGAACAGUAAGCAGUAGGUGAUUUGAAAGGAGGACCUCUGUCUUAUUUAUUUUUAUGUUCUCUACAAUACCUGGCUGGGCAAUUGGGACAUAGAAGAAG
RNAcentral lists this long non-coding RNA (600 nucleotides) under Equus caballus (horse). RNAcentral describes it as "lncRNA (ENSECAG00000058602.1)". The record is from RNAcentral. Lineage: Eukaryota; Metazoa; Chordata; Mammalia; Perissodactyla; Equidae.